GCUCUAUUUGAUUUUUAAUUAUAUGUUUUAAAAAAUAUAAAUUUACAUAAAGAACGCCUUUCUUGGCUAACAGUUCUGUUUGAUUUAAACAUAAUAAAAAAACAAUAAUAAAUCGGAUAAUAUUAGAUUAUAACUAACCCUAGGACAACUCUCCUCCUUAUUUCUUUACUCUUAACUUUUCAACAACCGUUCUUUCUCAUCCAUCUCAUAGAUUUCCUCUUUCUCUUUUCCUCAGAUCCGUUUCGAGUUCUUCCCUCAAUGAAUUUGAUUCUAAUUGAUCGGGUCGUUGAUAGAGAAAGAGAUGCUUGAUCUACCUUAGAGAAGCUUGACCAUGGCGAGCGAUGCGGACACUGAUGAUGAAACUCCUCUGUUGAUUUCGCCGCAAUUUCCCAUUGUUCCAAUGGACACGGUCGAUAAUUUUAAGUUGGUUCUUUACUCCUAUUGAACUAUCUCAAAGCCGUAUCAGUAGAUCGAAGUCAAUGAGAUCCAAUUUAAAGAGAAGAUCAAGUAUUGUCUUCAAAAAAAAAAAAAAAAAUCAAGUACUGUAUAUAUGAUUCGUUGUGGGACAGCAACAUACAACUUUGAAAGAAUAAGAGAUUCUUGUAGUUUUUUUUAUUUUUUAUCUUGUUAUUUAUUUUUCAUUUACAUUUAAGUUGUAUAAAAAAAUUAUUAAUUUAAUAGAAGUUUCUAUAACCUUUUGGAUUUCCACUA
This is a long non-coding RNA of Chenopodium quinoa (quinoa), 711 nucleotides long. RefSeq lists it as uncharacterized. The transcript has 2 exons. NCBI's taxonomy places the organism in Eukaryota, Viridiplantae, Streptophyta, Magnoliopsida, Caryophyllales, Amaranthaceae. The record is from RefSeq and is a predicted model, not a curated record.